GACGAACGCUGGCGGCGUGCUUAACACAUGCAAGUCGAACGGAAAGGCCCUGCUUUUGUGGGGUGUUCGAGUGGCGAACGGGUGAGUAACACGUGAGUAACCUGCCCUUGACUUUGGGAUAACUUCAGGAAACUGGGGCUAAUACCGGAUAGGAGCUCCUGCUGCAUGGUGGGGGUUGGAAAGUUUCGGCGGUUGGGGAUGGACUCGCGGCUUAUCAGCUUGUUGGUGGGGUAGUGGCUUACCAAGGCUUUGACGGGUAGCCGGCCUGAGAGGGUGACCGGCCACAUUGGGACUGAGAUACGGCCCAGACUCCUACGGGAGGCAGCAGCGGGGAAUAUUGCACAAUGGGCGGAAGCCUGAUGCAGCAACGCCGCGUGCGGGAUGACGGCCUUCGGGUUGUAAACCGCUUUCGCCUGUGACGAAGCGUGAGUGACGGUAAUGGGUAAAGAAGCACCGGCUAACUACGUG
RNAcentral lists this ribosomal RNA (468 nucleotides) under uncultured bacterium. RNAcentral's name for it is "partial 16S ribosomal RNA". It matches the Rfam family "Bacterial small subunit ribosomal RNA", at positions 28 to 507 of the family's 1533-position model. The record is from RNAcentral.